This is a long non-coding RNA of Mercenaria mercenaria, 208 nucleotides long. RefSeq lists it as uncharacterized. The transcript has 2 exons. The record is from RefSeq and is a predicted model, not a curated record. Lineage: Eukaryota; Metazoa; Mollusca; Bivalvia; Venerida; Veneridae.
ACAGUAAGGAUAGCAAACAUGAUUACGCAACACCAGAAAUCACUGCAGCACAGACUGGAACAGAAUAUGACACAUUAGACAACCUGAAUGACAACCAAGGCCAAAGCAACAACAGUUAUGAAAACGAGAGAGUCAGCGCUUUUUGACAUACUUAAUAUUGUUUCAUUUCUUUUAAGCAUUUUUCUUCUUAAAUAAAGCGUAGCACAAG